GUCUCUCUGUGGCGCAAUCGGUUAGCGUCUUCAGCUGUUAACUGAAAGGUUGGUGGUUCGAGCCCACCCAGGGACA
Non-coding RNA from Rhineura floridana, 76 nucleotides. The record is from the annotation of a RefSeq genome assembly. NCBI's taxonomy places the organism in Eukaryota, Metazoa, Chordata, Lepidosauria, Squamata, Rhineuridae.